This is a long non-coding RNA of Oncorhynchus gorbuscha (pink salmon), 683 nucleotides long. RefSeq lists it as uncharacterized. Lineage: Eukaryota; Metazoa; Chordata; Actinopteri; Salmoniformes; Salmonidae. The transcript is spliced from 6 exons. The record is from RefSeq and is a predicted model, not a curated record.
UACACCGGUGUUUUACUGAUAAGGCAAGUCGGUAGGAUAUAGGCUGUAAUGGACUACCAGGGGUAUUAGAGGAAUAAUAUAUGCCAACGCUAACCCACCUGACAACGCAAACACAGCAGGAUCAAACUCAGCCUCGACAGGGACAUCCAAUAGUCAUUCGGGAUAUUACGGAUAUAAUAUUGUCUUCUUCAACUGCAGUAUCAAAAAAAGGGCGAAAAAUGUAUCAGUUCAGAUGGGUUCACCAUGAUAUCACCCAUUGCAUCGCGACGGAGUAAACUACACAUGAACAACCCGGUCCGAGGUCGUGACUCAGAGUUCCAGUCUGAGAGACAGGUGAAGAGGUGUAGAUGAGAAGUAAUCCAUCAGGACAACGUCAGAGGACAGAGCAGCUCCUUCAGAAGGUGGAGAGGUCAGACGCAGCUCCAGUGGCAUCGACUAGUGCCUCACACACAUCACCCUUGGUGUUGUGUCAUGGUGAUGCUGCAGACAGAGGAGAGCAGAAAAGAAGGGCCCCAGGGCAAGGUUUGAGUAUGUGUUGUUAGGGAGGGGUUUCAUACUGUACCGACCGACAACGGUAUUAUGUGGCAACCAGUGGUGUAAAGUACUUUAGUAAAAAACUUGAAAGUACUACUUAAGUAGGUUUUUGGGGUAUCUGUACUUUACUUUACUAUUUAUAUAUUUGA